GACGAACGCUGGCGGCGUGCUUAACACAUGCAAGUCGUACGGUAAGGCCCUUUCGGGGGUACACGAGUGGCGAACGGGUGCGUAACACGUGAGUAACCUGCCCACAACUUUGGGAUAACGCUAGGAAACUGGUGCUAAUACUGGAUAUGUGCUCCUGCUGCAUGGUGGGGGUUGGAAAGCUCCGGCGGUUGUGGAUGGACUCGCGGCCUAUCAGCUUGUUGGUGGGGUAGUGGCCUACCAAGGCGGCGACGGGUAGCCGGCCUGAGAGGGUGACCGGCCACAUUGGGACUGAGAUACGGCCCAGACUCCGACGGGAGGCAGCAGUGGGGAAGAUUGCACAAUGGGCGCAAGCCUGAUGCAGCAACGCCGCGUGCGGGAUGACGGCCUUCGGGUUGUAAACCGCGUUCAGCAGGGACGAAGCUUUUUGUGACGGUACCUGCAGAAGAAGCACCGGCUAACUACGUG
RNAcentral lists this ribosomal RNA (465 nucleotides) under uncultured bacterium. Its description in RNAcentral is "partial 16S ribosomal RNA". It matches the Rfam family "Bacterial small subunit ribosomal RNA", at positions 28 to 507 of the family's 1533-position model. The record is from RNAcentral.